Molecule: ribosomal RNA, 468 nt
Filed under: uncultured bacterium
Lineage: Bacteria
Description: partial 16S ribosomal RNA
Rfam family: Bacterial small subunit ribosomal RNA
Source: RNAcentral
GACGAACGCUGGCGGCGUGCUUAACACAUGCAAGUCGAACGGAAAGGCCCUGCUUUUGUGGGGUGCUCGAGUGGCGAACGGGUGAGUAACACGUGAGUAACCUGCCCUUGACUUUGGGAUAACUUCAGGAAACUGGGGCUAAUACCGGAUAGGAGCUCCUGCUGCAUGGUGGGGGUUGGAAAGUUUCGGCGGUUGGGGAUGGACUCGCGGCUUAUCAGCUUGUUGGUGGGGUAGUGGCUUACCAAGGCUUUGACGGGUAGCCGGCCUGAGAGGGGGACCGGCCAAAUUGGGACUGAGAUACGGCCCAGACUCCUACGGGAGGCAGCAGUGGGGAAUAUUGCACAAUGGGCGGAAGCCUGAUGCAGCAAAGCCGCGUGCGGGAUGACGGCCUUCGGGUUGUAAACCGCUUUCGCCUGUGACGAAGCGUGAGUGACGGUAAUGGGUAAAGAAGCACCGGCUAACUACGUG